Molecule: non-coding RNA, 71 nt
Organism: Podarcis lilfordi (Lilford's wall lizard)
Lineage: Eukaryota; Metazoa; Chordata; Lepidosauria; Squamata; Lacertidae
Source: the annotation of a GenBank genome assembly
UGAUAGCUCAGCUAAUAGAGCAUGAAACUCUUAAUCUCAGGGUUGUGGGUUCAAGUCCCACAUUGGAUGAA